GACGAACGCUGGCGGCGUGCCUAAUACAUGCAAGUUGAGCGAUGAAGAUUGGUGCUUGCACCAAUUUGAAGAGCAGCGAACGGGUGAGUAACGCGUGGGGAAUCUGCCUUUGAGCGGGGGACAACAUUUGGAAACGAAUGCUAAUACCGCAUAACAACUUUAAACAUAAGUUUUAAGUUUGAAAGAUGCAAUUGCAUCACUCAAAGAUGAUCCCGCGUUGUAUUAGCUAGUUGGUGAGGUAAAGGCUCACCAAGGCGAUGAUACAUAGCCGACCUGAGAGGGUGAUCGGCCACAUUGGGACUGAGACACGGCCCAAACUCCUACGGGAGGCAGCAGUAGGGAAUCUUCGGCAAUGGACGAAAGUCUGACCGAGCAACGCCGCGGGAGUGAAGAAGGUUGUCGGAUCGUAAAACUCGGUUGGUAGAGAAGAACGUUGGUGAGAGUGGAAAGCUCAUCAAGUGACGGUAACUACCCAGAAAGGGACGGCUAACUACGUG
RNAcentral lists this ribosomal RNA (497 nucleotides) under uncultured bacterium. RNAcentral's name for it is "partial 16S ribosomal RNA". It matches the Rfam family "Bacterial small subunit ribosomal RNA", at positions 28 to 507 of the family's 1533-position model. The record is from RNAcentral.